GUUUUCUCUGCACACAACCCAAAAGAUGGCGAGUGGAAUUACGAAACACUUGAGGGUGAGUUUAUUUCAAAAACAAAUUUUAUUCUGUUAACUUUUCUAUACUUCUGUGCUAACCUUUGUUUUGAAGCGUUCUUCAUGGUUGAAUUUUCUCCAUGAGGGGGGCGCGCCUAUUACAUAGUGGGCAUGAAGUCACCAUUAACGCCCCAUCCAUCAACCCCCAAUAAGACGUAUUCAUAUGUUAUCUUGCUCUUGUUAGCAUCCAUGUUUUUACUUCCAGUAGUUACUUUAUUUUCAUGCAAUUUUAGGCUUGAACAUGUAACAGAUGAACAGCUUAGGAUCUAUUUUUGCAUACAUAUGCAUUCGUGUGUUGAGUCAGAAUUUAAAGCUAUGACCCAAAAGGCAUAUGAAAUCCUACGAGAAGAUAAUUUUGGAAGACUUGAAAAUUCAGUAAGAUGGACUUAUGAGACUCUAUUGUGAUAAUAAAUCAGCAAUUAGUAUUGUUCACAACUCUAUACAACAUGAAAGAAUAAAAUAUAUUUAAGUUAUCAAGGAGAAACUAGAUGGUGGAUUGAAAUAAAAAGAAAACGAAAAACAUUUUUUCAAUGAAAGAAAAACAAAAACAAUUUUUUAAAAAUAAAAAGAAAGAAAAACAAAACUUUUGAAGACUUAGUUUUCCCUUUUAGAACAGUUAGUUUAUGGUUACAAAACGCUUUUUUUUUUUUUGCUCAAGGAUCAUCUUCUUUCUUCUAAUGAUGACUUGGAGGAACCUCAUUGAAAUUCUGACUGGCUUGUGGAACUUUAAGUGGAAACAUCUAGGUGCCUUGUUAAUAUAUGUUAUCUUCUUUUCCCUCUUAAAAAAGAGAUGGGAUAUGCAUCUGGGUGAUCUAGCAAGUCACUUUGCUAGGUAUAAACUGUUGCCUUGGUGGAGGGAUGUUUGAUCUACUAUACAUUAAAAGGAAUUUGCUAGGAUCUACCAUUAUCACAUGCUUUCGCUAGCUGCAGCUAAGAAAUAAAACAAUGCUCUUUAACUCCCUUACAUGUGCCACAUGAACAAUUGAAAGAUUUAAGCACAGAGUUUGAUCUAGGUUUGCAUAGGAAACUUAGAGGUCAUGAUUCCAUCCCUCUAGUUGUAGAUAGGUUUUCCAAACUAGCCAGUUCUAUUUCUGGUGGCAAAACAUGGUGUCCUAAUUGAAGGUCUUCUUCCAGUUAACUUUUGCGUCAAUUAUAUUUUUCCAGUACCCAGAUGCCAAAUCCUUUAAGGUGUCAAUUGAGGAAGGAGGUAACUUCUUUAAUCUUGGAAUUAAAGAAUUCACCAGAUAGAAAAGAUUCAGAAUCUUCCUGGUAAAGAGGGAGCAUAGUGGCUGUUAGAGAACUUUAGAGUCUUGAGGAACGAAAUGGAUAAG
RNAcentral lists this long non-coding RNA (1403 nucleotides) under Carica papaya (papaya). RNAcentral describes it as "long non-coding RNA (CPAP_LNC013759)". The record is from RNAcentral. Lineage: Eukaryota; Viridiplantae; Streptophyta; Magnoliopsida; Brassicales; Caricaceae.